Molecule: long non-coding RNA, 1018 nt
Organism: Raphanus sativus (radish)
Lineage: Eukaryota; Viridiplantae; Streptophyta; Magnoliopsida; Brassicales; Brassicaceae
Exons: 3
Source: RefSeq, a predicted model, not a curated record
AAUUAAUCUCUUGUAGAAGAUCAACAAGAAAUCUUUUCAUUUCUCUCCUAAUGAAAAAUUCUAUAAAAUACCCACCAAACACCCAGCAUUUAUCUCCACCCAUCUCGAAGAAUAUAAACACGCUACGACUUCCUGAGCUUUUUGUUUUAGAAUUUUUCUGGUACAUAAACAAAUGUCUCCAAGAACCUCUCUUGCAAUCUUCCUUUUCAUUAACCUCAUCUUCUUCUCUUACACUUCUGCACAAGGCACUUGUCCUAAAAAUGCCUUACAACUAAAACCUUGCAUUGAUGGGAUCAUCAAACAGGAUCAGCUAAAUUUCGGAGACCGAGUCCUAACCCCAUGCUGCUCGCUUAUUCAUGAUGGCUUGUCUGACCUUGAGGCUGUAGCCUGUCUCUGUACCGCUCUCAAGGAAGGCAUUCGUAGCUUCGUCCCUAAUUUUCCCACAAGUAUCACGGCUCUCUUCGCUUUUUGUGGCAAAAAAGCUCCAAAGGAUAUAAAAUGCGUCUAGGUCACUGGAGCUAAUUAUCUGACAGCAAGAAAGAGAGCUCCAGUGUUGUCUGCAGUUCAAGAGACUUCAUGCAUGUGCUUUUCGAAUCUUGCUGUGAGAAGAGCUGUUACUCAAUUAGCAAUGAAGUUGCGCAAACUUUGGGGAAAAAGCUCAUGAUCAUUAGGUGUGCUGAAGUAGACAAGACACUGACAAGAAAGUUGAGAGAGAGAGUUACAAAAAAAUUCCACGACGAAACUUUGGUCUUUUGCGAAACUCUGGUGUUCAUGAGCCGAUUGAGCUCAUUGUUCUGGAUUUGAUUUCCGUUGUGGAACUUCUCUUAGUGUUUUUGGUUUUAUUUUGUUGUUCAGUUCGUUGGUUUCUAAUUGUUGAUUUGAUUCGCGUGUUGUAAAGAGUUUUACAUCUCUUCAUUUUUUGCCAAACUGUUUUACAUUUCUUCAUUUUUUGCCAAACUGUUAUUACAGUAGGCGAUCAUGCUCUGCUCAUUGUUCUUGAUUCUAUGUUCCUUGCAGA